RNAcentral lists this ribosomal RNA (584 nucleotides) under uncultured bacterium. Its description in RNAcentral is "bacterial SSU rRNA". It matches the Rfam family "Bacterial small subunit ribosomal RNA", at positions 338 to 915 of the family's 1533-position model. The record is from RNAcentral.
CCUACGGGAGGCAGCAGUAGGGAAUCUUCCGCAAUGGACGAAAGUCUGACGGAGCAACGCCGCGUGAACGAUGAAGGCCUUCGGGUCGUAAAGUUCUGUUGUUAGGGAAGAACAAGUGCUAGUUAAAUAAGCUGGCACCUUGACGGUACCUAACCAGAAAGCCACGGCUAACUACGUGCCAGCAGCCGCGGUAAUACGUAGGUGGCAAGCGUUGUCCGGAAUUAUUGGGCGUAAAGCGCGCGCAGGCGGUUUCUUAAGUCUGAUGUGAAAGCCCCCGGCUCAACCGGGGAGGGUCAUUGGAAACUGGGAAACUUGAGUGCAGAAGAGGAAAGUGGAAUUCCAAGUGUAGCGGUGAAAUGCGUAGAGAUUUGGAGGAACACCAGUGGCGAAGGCGACUUCCUGGUCUGUAACUGACGCUGAGGCGCGAAAGCGUGGGGAGCAAACAGGAUUAGAUACCCUGGUAGUCCACGCUGUAAACGAUGAGUGCUAAGUGUUAGAGGGUUUCCGCCUUUAGUGCUGAAGUUAACGCAUUAAGCACUCCGCCUGGGGAGUCGGUGCAAGACUGAAACUUAAAGGAAUUGCGG